ACAAAUUAUUGUACAAAAAGCAUUACAAAUCGUACUAUGAUGUUGGGCCUAAUACAUUGGUAAAUAAACACAUGUAAUACAUGUAAUCUAGAACUACUAGAAUCCCCUUUACCUUUCUCUUUCACCUUUGAUUCCACCGCCUUGACCACAGAGCUUCUCUUGGAUUUUGGUAUUGUCCGACUUUUAUUGUGCAACCACUUUGGAAUUGUUAAAUGUUGAGAAUUGAAUUUCGAAAUUGAUGGUUGAGUUAUUAGAAAGUGGAGUUCACGUAAAUGGUAGAAAUUGGGUUCAUGCAUUUCUUCACCAUUGUCACUCUCUUCACAUAUCCUCUGCUCCUCAGAAGUGGCAACUAAAGAGCUAAUGUGGUGUUGAUAGAAAGAGAGAUGAGGCCAAUGUGAUUCAGCAACAGGUAAAUACAACAUUGUUGCUGGCUUUAGAGUUGGCUGAAGUUACUGAAACACCGUUGGUGAGGGCUAUGCGCCCUGCACGAACGAUCCACAUGGAGCCAAUUGAAGCAGGAGCCGCUCACAAGAUGACAUGGUACGACCUGCAGUUCAGGUGAAUAAUCAGAGAUUGGAGCUUCAAGAGAAUUGUCUUCACUUCGCGCUUGGGAAGAGCUGCCAACUAUUUCCCUCCAGAUGACAUGAUGAUCAUAUCAUCCUCAGAGUAGUCAUCAGUGUUUAUCAGACGAAAUUUUGCAGGAAAAAUUGUUGAGCAUAAGAUAUGAAGGUACUCAUAAUUACCUCACUGGACUACAGGAGAUGAUGGGCUAUCCUUCCGGCUCUGCAGUUUGUGCCUAACAGAUUGACUUCCUUCGAUUUAGUUUUGUCUCAGUCGUUUCAGUUUGUCUCAAAUAUUCAUUUCUUCCUUGGGAAAAUAACGGGAAGCUUCAAGAUCAAGGGCAAUCAAUGCACAAUCUGCAACAAACAGAACUGUUAACGCAAACCAAAACAGGACAGUUAGAGAUCACAGUACUGUUGAAAAUAUUGAUGAGAUUGAAACAAUAGCCCUUUCCCAAUUGAAAAAGGAAUUAGGUCUCGAAUGGGAUUGAAUUGAUAUUCCUUGUAAAUAAGAGCAACAUCUUUUUGGUUGUGUUUAGCUGCAAACUCAAAUGGUUCACCUGCUUUGAACAUGUACCAACUGAAAGUCGCAAAACAGUUUGCUUUAUUUUCCUUGCAUAGUGUUGUGAUGGACAAAGUCUUUGGUGGGAUUGAAUUGAUAUUUCUUGCAAAUAAGAGCAAUGAUGUCUUGUGCAACAUCCUUUUGGUUGUGUCUAGCUGCAAAAUCAAAUGGUUCACCAACUGAAAGUCGCAAAACGGGUUGCUUUAUUUUCCUUGCACAGUGCUGUGAUGGACAAAGUCUUUGCACUAGCCAUGCCAAUGGGUUAGAAUGUACCUAUGAUGUUCUUGAAGAUGCUAAACGGUUCCUAUAAUUUGUUGGUAUUAUAUCUUAUAAAUUAUAAUGGCUGACUACAAUAAUUGGCAGAUACAAUG
This is a long non-coding RNA of Lycium barbarum (goji berry), 1493 nucleotides long. RefSeq lists it as uncharacterized. The transcript is spliced from 4 exons. The record is from RefSeq and is a predicted model, not a curated record. NCBI's taxonomy places the organism in Eukaryota, Viridiplantae, Streptophyta, Magnoliopsida, Solanales, Solanaceae.